GUUCCGUAGGUGAACCUGCGGAAGGAUCAUUAUUGUGUAACCGAGGUGCGAGGGCUGUCGCUGACCCGAAAGGUCGUGCACGCCCGAGUGCCCUCACACACAUCCAUCUCACCCCUAUGUGCACCACCGCGUGGGUCCCCCUUUGGCUUGUUCGGAGGGGGGCUUACGUUUUCACACAAACUUUGUAUGCAGUGUAGAAUGUAUUUUUUGUUUUUGCGAUCACGCAAUCAAUACAACUUUCAACAACGGAUCUCUUGGCUCUC
RNAcentral lists this unclassified non-coding RNA (263 nucleotides) under plant metagenome. RNAcentral's name for it is "partial contains small subunit ribosomal RNA, internal transcribed spacer 1, and 5.8S ribosomal RNA". The record is from RNAcentral.